GUGUCAGCCGCCGCGGUAAUACGUAGGGGGCAAGCGUUGUCCGGAAUCAUUGGGCGUAAAGCGCGUGUAGGCGGCCAGGUAAGUCCGCUGUGAAAACUCGAGGCUCAACUUCGAGAUGUCGGCGGAAACUAUCUGGCUAGAGUCCGGAAGAGGAGAGUGGAAUUCCUGGUGUAGCGGUGAAAUGCGCAGAUAUCAGGAAGAACACCCGUGGCGAAGGCGGCUCUCUGGGACGGUACUGACGCUGAGACGCGAAAGCGUGGGGAGCAAACAGGAUUAGAUACCCUCGUAGUCC
Molecule: ribosomal RNA, 292 nt
Filed under: uncultured bacterium
Lineage: Bacteria
Description: partial 16S ribosomal RNA
Rfam family: Bacterial small subunit ribosomal RNA
Source: RNAcentral